GCUUGCGGUGGAACGUGCAGGCGGAGCUGGUGCACUGCCGGUGGGCGAUGCUCGGCGCGGCGGGCAUCUUCAUCCCGGAGUUCCUGACCAAGAUCGGCAUCCUCAACACGCCCUUCUGGUACACCGCCGGCGAGCAGCAGUACUUCACCGACACCACCACCCUCUUCAUCAUCGAGCUCAUCCUCAUCGGCUGGGCCGAGGGCCGCCGCUGGGCCGACAUCAUCAAGCCCGGGAGCGUCAACACUGACCCCAUCUUCCCCAGCAACAAGCUCACCGGCACCGACGUCGGGUACCACCUCUCGCUCCGGCCCCAUGCAUGAACACGCAAGAAAACAUUAUUAUAUUCCCAAAGACUCAUCUAGCUGCUAGCAGUCCUCAUAUCCAUGGCUGAUCUCUGUGUGCUGGAAAUGCAUGUAAAAAUUAAGGUACCCUGGUGGCCUGUGGUUUGACCCGCUCGGCUGGGGCAGCGGCUCGCCGGAGAAGAUCAAGGAGCUGCGCACCAAGGAGAUCAAGAACGGCCGCCUCGCCAUGCUCGCCGUCAUGGGCGCCUGGUUUCAGGCCGAGUACACCGGCACCGGCCCCAUCGACAACCUCUUCGCCCACCUCGCCGACCCCGGCCACGCCACCAUCUUCCAGGUCAGCUGAGAUCAAACUGCACAUACCUCACAGCUUCGAUCUAUACGGUUUGGUUACUGAUUAGUGAACUUUUGUUGUGUUCUUGAUCAGGCCUUCACCCCCAAAUGAGGAGUUGGAGUUAGCGAUCUGAGUGCUGCGUGCUAUACCACGCAUGCAUGAGGUGGAGAUUGUUAUAGGUUGAUGGUCGAUGCGACUUUUUCCUUUUUGUGGGACGGAAUAGACUGUGAUGAUUCAAUGGCUUGUGUGGA
This 884-nucleotide long non-coding RNA is filed under the name Setaria viridis. RNAcentral's name for it is "long non-coding RNA (SVIR_LNC002437)". The record is from RNAcentral. Lineage: Eukaryota; Viridiplantae; Streptophyta; Magnoliopsida; Poales; Poaceae.